AUUCUGCUCCCCACGCGGUCAAUUCGCUUCUAACGAUUGCCGCACUUUCUCUUUUCUCCCAUCAUCGUCAGCCACAUCAUGAGGUAAUCCCAACUCAUCUAUCUCUAUCUCCAUAUCAAUUUUUAUGUCUAUAUCUUUUUCGCCCACCACGACGAUUCUGGUUUCGACAACUUUUGUUGUUAUUGUUAUAUAUAUGUUUCUUCAAAAUCAAUCAAUCUUAUCUGAAUAUUAUUAAAUAAUUCAUUUAAUUAUUUGGGUUUUUAUAUAUUUUUUUGUCGUUCCUUUUCUUUUUAAUUACUUCUGUUGUUGAAUAUUUGAUGUUUAGAAUGAUAGGCUAUGUCGUUGGGUCAAUUAUGUGGUGUGUAUUCUAGGGUUUAGAUGCAUGUAUUUUGGUAUAUAUUGUUGUAGUUGUUUUAUUACAGAUUGGUGUUGUUGAAGCUAGUGUUCGUGCGGCUAUUUCAAUUUUUACUGCUUCUGAAAGUAAGCUAAUAGUUAAUCAAAUCUUCCCUCUUUCCUCUUAAGUUGCUUUUGGUGUUAUUAAGGAUCUUCAUCGACUAUAGUUAUGAUAUUACAAAAGCAUUGCUCUGUUUUAUCUCUUCUUCAUACAUUUUAUGUCACCGUAAGAAUUAAGAUGGAUGCUAACAUUCUUGACAUUGAUAAGUGGUAAUGUAGCCAUGACAUGCGUUACUUAUUUAAUUUUGGAUUUUAAAUGAGUUGCGGAAAAGUAUAAGACAAGUUAUCAUUCUUUUGAGAUUGUGACACUUUUUCUUCCUCAUGUUUAGGUUUAGAUUUAGGUUUGCGAUGAUGAUCACUUAUCCUAUGUUUAGUAGAAGUUUUAUGAGAUCUUUGUUGCUUUGGGCAAUUUCUUCUAACUGAUGUCCUCCAUUUUUGCACCAGAUGAUGCAAUAGCUUACACAGAACUGAGUUGCAAUAGUUUGUCAUGUUCCUGGUAAAGUUCUUAGCUUUGAAUUCCUUAAUCUAUCGAAGUACCAUUAUUAUAAUAAUUCUUGCUUGUUACAAUCCAUAAGACUAGAAAUAAUGGAGUUGAAAAAAAAUAUACAGGGCACUUUUACUUUUUUCCUUUCUUAUAUUGUUAUAAUUCUUUCUUAUGUGAAAUUUUUAUGCAGCUUUUGAAGGAUGUCAGUUCAAUUACUGGCAAGGGAAUGCUUGAGUUGUGAAAAGAUGGAUCCACGUUGUCGCUGUAUUUAUUGUACAAGUUAAAGGAAUUAGUUUGAGUUAUGAGCGAUCUUAGUGCAAUUGUAUGUUGGCAUCUUUUAAAUUGUUCAAAUUUGUACCAAGUACAACUACUCGAUCAGU
This 1317-nucleotide long non-coding RNA is filed under the name Nicotiana tabacum (common tobacco). RNAcentral's name for it is "long non-coding RNA (NTAB_LNC014516)". Lineage: Eukaryota; Viridiplantae; Streptophyta; Magnoliopsida; Solanales; Solanaceae. The record is from RNAcentral.